Phragmites australis (common reed) is the source of this 478-nucleotide long non-coding RNA. RefSeq lists it as uncharacterized. Lineage: Eukaryota; Viridiplantae; Streptophyta; Magnoliopsida; Poales; Poaceae. The transcript is spliced from 2 exons. The record is from RefSeq and is a predicted model, not a curated record.
AAACAUCAUUCCUAGGUAGUAAUUCUCGUAACUUCAGGUUCACGAAAUCAAGAACAAUGAAGAUUGUGAUGUGUGCUGUUCUCAUGCUUGUCAUCAUCAGCCCUUGCACUGCAGCAAAGCCCCUCAUGACGGCCGCACAAAGGGAGCAUGUUGAGCGUCCAGGAGAGGGAGAAGCGAAGGCAGGAGAGGUCACUACUACUGCUAUCGACUAUAAACCUUAUGCACGUAUAAAUGGAAAUGGAAAUCAUUCCUGCCGUUAUGGAAAGAAAUGCUAUAAUCGACCUUGAUUCGCAAAACAAGCUACACCACUGCCAUGCAAACAUGAUACUCUAAACCUUUAGAAGUAUUUGUAUCUCUCAUGCGAUAGCUGUAUCUUGCUAUCUGCAUAUGUAUCAACUGUAGAAGCUGCUCGUUGAGAUGAUGCUAUGUGUGUACCUUAUGAAUAAAAAUGGAGGCAAUCUCCAGCCUUCGGUGCUUA